Molecule: ribosomal RNA, 1249 nt
Filed under: Dermestidae sp. GENSP01
Lineage: Eukaryota; Metazoa; Arthropoda; Insecta; Coleoptera; Dermestidae
Description: 16S ribosomal RNA
Rfam family: Archaeal large subunit ribosomal RNA (bases 1017-1174)
Source: RNAcentral
GAACUUUAAAAUUUAUAUGUAUAUUUUUUUUAAAGUAUUAUUAUUUUUAUUAAUUUUAUAGGAAAAAUUUUUUUUAUUAUAGUUUACUUGUACGGUUACGGAGUAUUCUUAAGUUAUUAAAAGAAAUUUUUUUUUAAUGUACCUUUUGUAUCAGGGUUUAUUAAUAUAAGUAUUUUUAUAUGGUUUUUCCCGAAUUUGUAGGAGUUAUUUAUUUAUUUAUUUCAAUGUUUAAUGAUUGUUUAUAAUAAGUUUUUGGAAAUUAUAUGUUAUUCGGUUACAAUUAUAUCUGGUUCUUAAAGAGUUGGUUUCAAUCCAGAGGUGUGAGGGGUUAAUGAGAGUUUUUCUUUUCUUUUUAUAUCAUUUAUUUUCAGGGGGAUUAGCUUUUGAAAUGUUUAUAAGCUUAUAUUUUUUACUGGGAAGUGGGAUUAGAAUUUUUCAUCUUCAAGUAUGUUAUAGUUUGCUGGUUUGAGUAUAUAUUUUUUUGUGUUUAGGUUUUUUAUUUAAGAUUAUAAUUUAAUUUUUUUAUUUUAUUUAUUAUGAUUUUAUUAGUAAAAGUUUAUGUUUUAAUUAGUUGGUUUGUCAGGUUUAUAAAAGGAAUUCGGCAAAUAUUAUUAUCCGCCUGUUUAAUAAAAACAUGUCUUUUUGUUUAUUAUAUAAAGUUUGACCUGCCCACUGAUUUUGUUAAAAGGCCGCAGUAUGUUGACUGUGCGAAGGUAGCAUAAUAAUUAGUUUCUUGAUUGGGAGCUGGAAUGAAGGGUUGGACGAGAUAAUUACUGUCUCUUGUAAAGUUAUUUUGAAUUUUACUUUUAAGUCAAAAGGCUUAAAUUUUUUUAAGGGACGAGAAGACCCUAUAGAGUUUUAUAUUUAAUAAGUUUUUAAAUUUUGGUAUCUUAUUUUUUUCUUAUAUAGUAUUUGGUUGGGGUGACUUAAAAAUUUGAUUAACUUUUUAUAUUUUUUACAUUUAUUUAUGAUAAUUUGAUCUUACUUGAUUGAUUUAAAGAUUAAAUUACCUUAGGGAUAACAGCGUAAUUCCUUUUAGAGUUCUUAUCGAAUAAGGAGAUUGCGACCUCGAUGUUGGAUUAAAGUUUAUUUUAGGUGUAGCAGCUUAUUUUUUGAGUCUGUUCGACUUUUGAAACUUUACAUGAUCUGAGUUUAGACCGGCGUGAGCCAGGUUAGCUUCUAUCUUUAAAUUAAUUAAUGUUUUAGUACGAGAGGACCAGGCAUUUGUUUUGAAGACUUUUUUUGAAUU